Molecule: long non-coding RNA, 352 nt
Organism: Folsomia candida
Lineage: Eukaryota; Metazoa; Arthropoda; Collembola; Entomobryomorpha; Isotomidae
Exons: 4
Source: RefSeq, a predicted model, not a curated record
UGAUAUCAUUCCUCUUCAGGACCUUCGUAUCAGUGUGUGCCUGUUACAACUGCAGCAAUGAAUUUUUUCACAAUUCUCAUUCCUAUCCUACUUUCUGCAACUCGUGCCACUGCACAGAACAAGGACCCCUGCAUGGAAUCCACAAUUUUUCAAACGAUGAUUGAGACGGAAUCAUGUAAAGGUCUGUUUAACGAUGUGGAUAUUGCAGAUAAGGUGAAUACAACAACAAAUUAUAUGCGUUUCGGACCAUUUGCCUUGUAAGUUUAAAUUGCUAUUUUUCAUAUUUAUGUACAACCAUCAAGAAGGUACAUAUGCACAUCUGUAUUAGUAUCGAACAAUUAAUCACUAAUUC